This 194-nucleotide ribosomal RNA is filed under the name uncultured bacterium. RNAcentral's name for it is "partial 16S ribosomal RNA". It matches the Rfam family "Bacterial small subunit ribosomal RNA", at positions 1311 to 1500 of the family's 1533-position model. The record is from RNAcentral.
CUCGACUGCACGAAGCUGGAAUCGCUAGUAAUCGCGGAUCAGCACGCCGCGGUGAAUACGUUCCCGGGCCUUGUACACACCGCCCGUCACACCAUGGAAGUCUGCAAUGCCCGAAGCCGGUGGCCUAACCACCUAUGUGGAAGGAGCCGUCUAAGGCAGGGCAGAUGACUGGGGUGAAGUCGUAACAAGGUACC